This 1048-nucleotide long non-coding RNA is filed under the name Nicotiana benthamiana. RNAcentral describes it as "long non-coding RNA (NBEN_LNC020408)". Lineage: Eukaryota; Viridiplantae; Streptophyta; Magnoliopsida; Solanales; Solanaceae. The record is from RNAcentral.
CCUGUUUCAUCAAGAAAAGGUAAAGAGUUUAUGUAAAAUCAGAACUUGGUUAUAACAUGUUUUGAUUAUUGAAAUAAGAGUUGGGAAGUGGAAGAAGUAUUCGGACAUCUGAUUUUGUUUUGAAAGUAAGAAGACAGUAUAUGUUGAAUUGGAACUGACUGGUGCUGAAGUCUGUGCUGGAGGACUUGAUCACCAUGCAUAAAUAAAAAUACCUCUCCUAUAUAUUUACUUUUUAAGUAAAGAAGUAUACAUAUCUUCAUAGAAAUAUACGUAUCUUCAUAUCAAAGAUUAGAUUGUGUGAUUUGGGCAAGCAUGCCAUACAUUUAUUUGGGCAAGAAUUUACAUUUCUUAUUGCUUUUACAAGGGGUUACGAGCAUCAUUCCAGAAUGAAGAGAAGGAUAUUGCGCAUAAUUUAGACACAUCGUAUCACUCUAGCUGCACAAGGUAGGGGUAAGAAUGCGUACAUACUACUUAUACUGGAUAUAUUGUUGUUAGAAACACCCCAUCACAGUUCUUGCCCUAUAUUGUUCAAGGAGUAGCAGGAAGCUUGUACUACAAACAACAUCAAGGAUUCAUUCUCUUUCCACAAGAACUAUGAGGUCUCUGGUUCAACUCCCCGCAGAGACAAAAAAACACUAGGUGAUUUUUCCUAUCUCUUGAGCUUAAAUAAAGUGAGGGUUCAUAUAGCCAAUCCCAACUCGUUUUGUUGAUUUCUUCCCAGUAGAGUUAUUCGAUACCUGUGCUGCUGGGAGGUUGUAGGUAGAGAAUGGAAUUAGUCGAGGUGCAUGCAAGCUGGUCCAGAUGCCACCCACAAAAAAAGAAGCAGCAGGUAGAAAAAAAUUGACAUUAUGGUUGAGAAAUGAGCAGUAGAAAACCAGGCUGGUGGACUCUUCUUUAGAAACUCUUCUAUUGUCAUGGAUUUCAGUUCUGGCACUUGACUAGUGCUGUGGUGCAUAUAUAAGAAUUUUCUACGGAAAACUUGAGAUACUAAAGUUCAACACAGUUGGAUAACACAUGAAAGAACAUUUUACAGAACUUAAGGAAUCAG